This 489-nucleotide ribosomal RNA is filed under the name uncultured bacterium. Its description in RNAcentral is "partial 16S ribosomal RNA". It matches the Rfam family "Bacterial small subunit ribosomal RNA", at positions 29 to 507 of the family's 1533-position model. The record is from RNAcentral.
AUGAACGCUAGCUACAGGCUUAACACAUGCAAGUCGAGGGGCAGCGGGAUUGAAGCUUGCUUCAAUUGCCGGCGACCGGCGCACGGGUGAGUAACGCGUAUCCAACCUUCCGUACACUCAGGGAUAGCCUUUCGAAAGAAAGAUUAAUACCUGAUGGUAUGAUGAGAUUGCAUGAUAUCAUCAUUAAAGAUUUAUCGGUGUACGAUGGGGAUGCGUUCCAUUAGGUAGUAGGCGGGGUAACGGCCCACCUAGCCAACGAUGGAUAGGGGUUCUGAGAGGAAGGUCCCCCACAUUGGAACUGAGACACGGUCCAAACUCCUACGGGAGGCAGCAGUGAGGAAUAUUGAUCAAUGGACGAGAGUCUGAACCAGCCAAGUAGCGUGAAGGAUGAAGGUCCUACGGAUUGUAAACUUCUUUUAUAAGGGAAUAAACCCUCCCACGUGUGGGAGCUUGUAUGUACCUUAUGAAUAAGCAUCGGCUAACUCCGUG